AUCAACUGAAGCUUUUACAAAAUUCAAGUACUUAACUCCACUUCAGAUUUCCUCACUCAGAACCUCUUGUGCUUGUGCUAUAAUGGUCUGUGAAGCUCCUUGCCGCUCGAAAUUCUCUAAAAGAAAAAGAGGAAAUGUUACCAUAGAAGUUUAUGCAUUAGCUCAGCUGCUCAUUAGUGGAGAUUAAAACUUUUGGGAUGGAUUUAUUGCCUCUUACAUUCACCUAGCUGAGAAUAAGACCCUGAAGCAACAGCAAGGGGAAAAAAGAGGGGUCGGUUUUAAUAGAGAAGAAGGCAGCCAAGAAAGUCCCAAGAAUUUGGCAAUCGAUGCCCAUGCCUUUGUGGGCUUUGUGUUGGCACCUCUGGGCCGCCCAAGGUCAGCAUGAAGGCACUAGAAAAAAAGAGCCUACUGUCAAUACCUUUUACCCCCUUAAAAUGUUUUCUGGAGUCACCUGGCAGUUCAAGGGGUGGUGCCAAGAGAUCCGGAGUGGAACAGACCCACGGUAUGAAGAGGGAAGGUCUAGGCCCAUCUGCCCCCUUCCAUGAAACCAAACUCAAGCGUCUGCAUCAAGAGCAUGACUUCAGGCAAUCUUGGAUAGCUUCUCCAACUCUGACAACAUUCCAUGAUACAAAGAAUACGUAAACUAGGCUUUGAAGAGAAAAGAAUGAAACUCUACAAUUCAAGCACAAAAAAAGGAGGAGGAGGAGAAGGAGGAAGAGGACGAGGAGGAGGAGGAGGAGAAGAAGAAAAACAACCUAGAAGCCUAUUUUUCACACCUCUUUCUUGCUCACCCAUUAGAAAUCUUGAAAUCUCCUCCCCAGCAAUAAUUCUUCUGUGACUUCUCAUUAGAAACCUGCUUAAGAUAGAAUAUUAAAUCACAGCA
Long non-coding RNA from Mustela erminea (ermine), 883 nucleotides. RefSeq lists it as uncharacterized. The record is from RefSeq and is a predicted model, not a curated record. Lineage: Eukaryota; Metazoa; Chordata; Mammalia; Carnivora; Mustelidae. The transcript is spliced from 3 exons.